GCCUUUGUUACCAGUGGCCUGUUUUUAUCACAACUUAAAAGAAACCUAAGCUUGCAGAAGCUUGCAGCUUGUUCCUACCUAAAAUAAUGUUAGUAUUCUGUAUUCCCUUUGUGCUUUCCUUCAUUAAAUGUUCCAGCAUGAAUCAGAUCUUCUUCUCCUAAUAGCUAGAGAGGGUUUCAUCUACUGCUGUAGCCUUGGAGGAGUCUUGGUAGCCUCCUGUUUCCAGGGGCUGGCCAGCCGUGUUGGAAGUGCUGAGGAGAACUGUACAUUUCUUUCCAAGCCAGAGAAAGCAUCUGCCUUUGCGCUCAAGAAGAUAGUUUGAACAUCCUCUAAACAGCAGUAAGUGAGGUGAGUAGCUUGAACGCGCGAGCAGCAUGCUCACAAUCC
RNAcentral lists this long non-coding RNA (387 nucleotides) under Apteryx owenii (little spotted kiwi). RNAcentral's name for it is "lncRNA (ENSAOWG00000014126.1)". Lineage: Eukaryota; Metazoa; Chordata; Aves; Apterygiformes; Apterygidae. The record is from RNAcentral.